AGUGAACGCUGGCGGUAGGCCUAACACAUGCAAGUCGAACGGCAGCACAGUAAGAUCUUGCUCUUACGGGUGGCGAGUGGCGGACGGGUGAGGAAUACAUCGGAAUCUACUUUUUCGUGGGUGAUAACGUAGAGAAACUUACGCUAAUACCGCAUACGACCUACGGGUGAAAGCAGGGGAUCUUCGGACCUUGCGCUAUUGAAUGAGCCUAUGUCGGAUUAGCUAGUUGGCGGGGUAAAGGCCCACCAAGGCGACGAUCCGUAGCCGGUCUGAGAGGAUGAUCAGCCACACUGGAACUGAGACACGGUCCAGACUCCUACGAGAGGCAGCAGUGGGGAAUAUUGGACAAUGGGCGCAAGCCUGAUCCAGCAAUGCCGCGUGGGUGAAGAAGGCCUUCGGGUUGUAAAGCCCUUUUGUUGGGAAAGAAAAGCAGCAGGUUAAUACCUUGCUGUUCUGACGGUACCCAACGAAUAAGCACCGGCUAACUUCGUG
Molecule: ribosomal RNA, 492 nt
Filed under: uncultured bacterium
Lineage: Bacteria
Description: partial 16S ribosomal RNA
Rfam family: Bacterial small subunit ribosomal RNA
Source: RNAcentral